Molecule: non-coding RNA, 1646 nt
Organism: Danio rerio (zebrafish)
Lineage: Eukaryota; Metazoa; Chordata; Actinopteri; Cypriniformes; Danionidae
Source: Ensembl
ACCUCUUCUGCAUGAACUGCACACUGCUCUGAACCUUAAACAAACAAUCAGCAUGAUCGUGUCGGAGGUUGAUGAAGGGGAAGAUGACGAUGACGAUGAUGAAAAAGAUGAUAGAGGUACUGGAAUAAGUGUCUGCUGCCAAGGGUAGACAACUACUCCAGACCUUAAAGCGGCCAGUGUCGAUUAAGAUCAAUAGUACGCUGGAUCCAAAAACGGCAUGUGUUUGCUGCCAGCAGCCAAAGCAAACACACAGCUAGAGUUGUGACAGAACGUCACAAGCACCUCCCACGCCAUGUGUGUCCAUGGCAAUGUUGACACGUAGACUGAUUCCUCCAUGGCAGCGAUGGAUCUCGCAACGUACCCGCUGUGCAGUAGCAGCACCAUCGCUUUUCUUCAGAAGAGCUCUGCUUUCACGUCUGUUUGUGCAACCCUGAAGAAACCAUGAUGAGAAGAACGAGAUGGUCAUCCUGAGGCGAUUCUCUGACGAAGCUGCUGAUCCAGAGUCUGGAAGAUGUGGUGCAGGUUUUUCUGCAAUCACAAUCGUCCUCAAGUCGCCAUUGUGCCACCGAGCAGCGCACAAUCAUGACUUCAAGUUAUUUUUUUUUUCCUGCAACAGGUCUACAGUAGUCAAAUAUCCAUUGAAAUACAAACAGAACUGGGCUGGAUGGGCAUUUUUAUAGAUGUACUAAUGGAUGCAUGUUGCUCAUAUAUACAGGGAGGUCAGUGCCUUUGAAAGCCUAUGUGUAUUUGUUGUAAAGAUUUAAUGACUAUGGCUGCUUGGUCCAAAAAAAAAAACUCUCCAAUAAAACUAGCAGAAGUUUCUGGAAGAGCGGAUCAAGAUUAGAGGUAAAAGCCUACUGAUUUUUUUUACAUUUUAUUUAUUUUAUCUCAUUUAAAACAACAUCAAAGCCAUAGAGAGCAUGAUCAGAGCGAGGUGACAUGUUCACCAGGAUUGGGUUCACAAAGCACAUCAAUUCUGCAUUUUGUGCUGACUUCCCUUACAGAAAUCUGAUAUGUGGCCAUAUAUAAACAUAUAUACAAUCAUAGACUAUAUAUAUUGACCAUAUUUGUAAUUCCAAUUAUAAAACAACAAUGAAAACAGCAAUAUUUCGAAGCGUAUGUUGCAUAUAUGACAUAUUUAAUAUCUGUAAAAUCUAAACUUGUAUGUCAUUUAUGUAAUUUGCAUAGCCAUAUAUCAGAUUUGUGUAUGGGUUGGAUGAAUCCACUGGUUCAUGACUUUACUAACAUUACACUAAAUGACUCACUGUUGAAUCUCACGCACAGGUGUUAUCGCAGUGAUGUUGAACGAAAGUUACACGACACAAGUAACUUACUGUAUAGAGACAAGAUCUCAUACAGGAAAAGGUCCUGAUGGAAGGAUCAAGAGGUCUAGCCAGAGAUGAGAUGAAGCCCAAUAGAUGUGACAACAUCAGAGGCAAUCAAAUCCUAUUGAGCACUCAUAAUAUUCUUGGUUAUGUGGAAAGGGGAUCCUUAGUGAGUGAUCUGUUUAGUUUUACAAUACAAUGAUGUUCUUCAAAAUGUCAUGAUGUAGCAGAUGGAUUACUGUGCAUUCGUCUGCCUAAAUGUGUCAUUUACUAAUGAGCCACAAGUUAAACUUCCUCUAAAUAAAUAAUUUGGAAAAAAAA